AAAAAAUUACAGAAAAGGGCAGGUUUUGCCAUUUUGGUGACAAAAAAAGGUCAACAGUGACUGGCCAUCCAAUAAUAGGUGAACUAGCAGUGCCAAUGUAGUUUUCUUGUAACCUACUUGCUAAUUUUAUGAGUUUGCAACAGUUGAGGAAAUGAUUUCCAUUUUGAAAACGAGUGACAUUACCUUGAAAAUGAAUUAGUUACCAAUUUUCCUAUGUAUGCUUAACAUGA
This 230-nucleotide unclassified non-coding RNA is filed under the name Hevea brasiliensis (rubber tree). Lineage: Eukaryota; Viridiplantae; Streptophyta; Magnoliopsida; Malpighiales; Euphorbiaceae. The record is from RNAcentral.